AAUCUGAAUUUACGGUUAAAAAACUGAAAUUGUGAAAUGGACAAAAUGAGAUUAGGGGGGAAGGACACUAAAAGAAAAAUUUGGACCAUUUUAAAGAGAUUGUGACGGGCAACGACUAUAUAGGUGUUGUAGAGGAGACAUUGGCGCAUCGUUUUAGAAAAUCUCCAGAGUGGUUUAUGUUCGAAAAUCUGAAGUUACGGUUAAAACAAUGAAAUUGUGAAAUUGACAAAAUGAGAUAAGGGGGUAGGCCAAUUUAAGUUAAUUUUUGACCAAUUUCAAGAGAUUGUGUCGGGCAACGACUAUAUAGGUAUUGUAGAGGAGACAAUGGCGCAUCGUUUAAGAAAAUCUCCAGAGUGGUUUAUGUUGGAAAAUCUGAAGUUACGGUUAAAAAACUGAAAUUGUGAAAUUGAUAAAAUGAGAUUAGGGGGUAGGCCAAUUUAAGUUAAUUUUGUAGCAAUUUCAAGAGAUUGUGACGGGCAACGACUAUAUAGGUGUUGUAGAGGAGACAUUGGCGCAUCGUUUAAGAAAAUCUUCAGAGUGGUUUAUGUUCAA
Mytilus californianus (California mussel) is the source of this 552-nucleotide long non-coding RNA. RefSeq lists it as uncharacterized. The record is from RefSeq and is a predicted model, not a curated record. Lineage: Eukaryota; Metazoa; Mollusca; Bivalvia; Mytilida; Mytilidae. The transcript is spliced from 3 exons.